CUAAACUAGUUUAGAUUCAAAAUUAUUUUAAUAUCUAAGCUUAACCCAUAUUUAUAAUGCACUUAAUUAAAAAUUAAGGUGUGAAAUUAAAAGAUCCAAAAUUGAGAAUUUAAGAUCUAAAUUUCAUUGCAUAAAACAUGGGGUUUUGGGUAUGGGUUGGAUAAUUAGGUCUUGUGAUUAGACUAUAAUUAGAGUCUUUGAUU
RNAcentral lists this long non-coding RNA (203 nucleotides) under Elaeis guineensis (African oil palm). RNAcentral's name for it is "long non-coding RNA (EGUI_LNC045431)". The record is from RNAcentral. Lineage: Eukaryota; Viridiplantae; Streptophyta; Magnoliopsida; Arecales; Arecaceae.